UACGGAGGGAGCUAGCGUUAUUCGGAAUUACUGGGCGUAAAGCGCACGUAGGCGGCUUUGUAAGUAAGAGGUGAAAGCCCGGAGCUCAACCCUUGGAUGCCGGUGGAUACUGCAGGGCUAGAGUCCGGAAGAGGCGAGUGGAAUUCCUGGUGUAGCGGUGAAAUGCGCAGAUAUCAGGAGGAACACCAAUGGCGAAGGCAGCUCGCUGGGACGGUACUGACGCUGAGGCGCGAAAGCGUGGGGAGCAAACGGG
RNAcentral lists this ribosomal RNA (253 nucleotides) under uncultured bacterium. RNAcentral's name for it is "partial 16S ribosomal RNA". It matches the Rfam family "Bacterial small subunit ribosomal RNA", at positions 524 to 776 of the family's 1533-position model. The record is from RNAcentral.